RNAcentral lists this long non-coding RNA (328 nucleotides) under Androctonus crassicauda. The record is from RNAcentral. Lineage: Eukaryota; Metazoa; Arthropoda; Arachnida; Scorpiones; Buthidae.
AACAUAAAUAUUAUCAUUAGUUUAAAAUCAAAAUAUGUUAAUUUUUUAUCUGCGGGACAUUUGCAUGUUUAUACGGGACGCGGGACAUUUCACUCUUGUGCGGGACUGUCCCACGCAUUGCGGGACGUCUGGUAACCCAAUGUCCCGGGAACAAAACUUGAUAAAUCCCCGAGAUGAUAAGCGGGACAGCUUUCGAACAGUGAAAACGAUUGGAUGUGAGAAAACUUUCACGAGAUGAAAGUUUUUCGUUUUCAAUGAACCAUUGUAAGAUAAAGGUACCAGUAGUUGACCAGUUAAGGGGAAUUUCUGUUGAUAAAUACUAGUCAAG